Molecule: long non-coding RNA, 2292 nt
Organism: Lynx canadensis (Canada lynx)
Lineage: Eukaryota; Metazoa; Chordata; Mammalia; Carnivora; Felidae
Exons: 11
Source: RefSeq, a predicted model, not a curated record
UCUCAAAAUAAAUUAAUUAAUUAAAAAAAUAAAAUAAAAUAAAAUAAAAUAAAAUAAAAUAAGGGACCAUAGCUGUCCUUUUGGCCAACUUUUCACAAAUGUCCCAAGGUCUAAAUGCCCCUGACAGCUCAACCAUUCCCAAGAGGCAACCCCAUUCAGCAGUUGAGUGGCUCUCAAUUGAGAAGACACAGCUUAUUUGGGUGGCUGUAAGAGGUCUUGGGGCACCUGGGUGACUCAGUCAGUAGAGCAUUCAACUCUGGAUCCUGGGGUUGUGAGUUCGAGCCCCACACUGGCUAUAGAGAUUAGUCAACAAUAAAAUCACUUUUUAAAAAAUGUAAGAGGUCUCUUCUAAUCUGGCCAAAGAUUUGCUUCUUAUAUUCUCUAUGUCAUAUAUUCUUACAUGUCUCUAUGUCUCUAUGCCCACAGGUCUUAAUAAUAUAGCACAGUGGUUCUCAAAUGUGAUUCCUAUGCCAGCAACAGCAUCAUCACUGGGAACUUGUAUGAACUGAAAAUUUGGGAGCUGGGUCCCAACAGUCUGCGUUGGGAAACCCUCCUCCAGGUGAUUCUGAUGCAUGCUGAAGUUUGAGAAGCACCCGUGGAGCAUAAUGGAAAGCAGGCAGGACUUCAGAAUGAAAAACACCAGGAUUCAGAUCCUAGCCCUCUGGUCAGUUUAGUGUUGGUUGGCACUUUUCUCAGGCUGAACCCAUGUAAUGGAAAAGAUGACCACUGGCAGCUCUCAGCUCACAUUCGGCCAGCUUCCAAGCUCAGCAGAAGAAUUCUGGGUCACUUCAGACACAGGCCUGGGAUUGAUCCUGUCUGGCCCCUCUUGAGUCACGUGUCCACCCUUGUGGAAUUCUCCUCGGCUGCACCUGUAAGCCUUAGUCUACUUAGGAAUUGGAGUACCGAUCACUUUCAACUGUCCUGCAGCACUACGAAAAACUGUAGAAAUUCUCAUGUCUGCUUCUGGAGAAUUCCAAGGCUCUGGGUCUCAGAACCACAGAAUCCUAUCAACAAAGGAGCUUUAAAGGCCACUUAGUUCGGGGCUCCUGGAUGACUCACUUGGUUAAGCAUCUGACUCUUGGUUUCGACUCAGGUCAUGAUCUUGCAGUUGGGUGAAUCACAAUACCUGGCACCUGGUAGGUGCUACACAAAAGUUUGUUAAACAAAAUAAUGCAAAUGAAGGCACUGAGGUUAAAAGAGAUCAUUUCCUGGAGCUCUCCCAUACCGUUAACAGCAGAAGUUGGCUGGCCACUCAGAUUUCCUGAGAAAUCCUGGUUUCCAGGGGGAGCUGGAAUACUCUCAGGUAUUGACCCCAAGAACUUUCUGAUCACAAAUCUCCAUCUUGGGAUGUGCGUUCUGGAGAACCCCACAUGCGACAUAUAUAUGCCCCUGUACGUAUACCUCAUGUGCUCCCAGAGGGUCUGCUUUUGCUGUCUGCACUCCCUGCUGCGCCAUCACCCACUGGGCAACCUGUGCCUGCUGCCAUGUCUGUGGGUCCCCACUGCCUUUUGCUGCAGCGGUGACAACAAAGUCCUUAAAGCUUCAGUGUUGUGUUGGGAAGUAGGCCAUGAAAACCUCACAAGGAAACUCUCUGUCAGCAAAACUACGAUGUCAACAUUCCCAAGAGCACCAUGAGAGAAAUGAUGUUCACAUGCAUCUGAAUCGCACAACCCUUUGGCCAUAUCUGGAUUUCACAGCUGUGGCAGAGCUUAUUUCCCAUCUGUUUUGUCACCAUUGCUUAAGUAAUUUAAUAAUUAAACUGGAUUGUCCGGAUACCAAUAAAAUGAAAGAACCAUAGGUGGUGGCAAUUGAAUCUAAGACCAUCCAAUGUAUCUAAAGCAUCUGAUAUAACCAGUGGCGUGCUGAUAAAUGUUUAGCAACCGGCUCUCUGAAAAGAAAAGAAAAUAACACUGAUUGAUAGUGUUUGUUGAUUUCAUGGUACAAAUACUCCCACCGUGGCCGUUUUCAAGCUGACAAUGUGAAAUCUCUGAACUCAGUCUUGGGAAGAGAUGCUACAAUGGGCUCUCGCGACUCAGUAGGAGCUGGCUCCAUUACACUGCUCAGUGAAAAAACACACAAAAUGGAUCGCCUUUUCACAAAACCGCUAUAAAGUUUUCAAGGCCUGAUCUGAUGUAAUGAUUGACAUUCAGAAGAAAGGAAUUCCAAGACGUGUCUCAAUAUAAAGCCCUUAUGAAAUAGGGAUGACAUUUCACUGAUUCAGAAGUCUGGAAAGAUAGAAAGUUCAAGACCUCAGCUUUGGUAACAGAGAGAGAGACAGAGCAUGAACGGGGG